UCUGAAUCCCAGGCUCUAAGCUACUUAAUCUCUCUGAAGCUCUCAUUUGUAUAAUGGGGGAUUAGGACUCACCUUGGAGGAUUACUUUGAGGGUUAAAUAUGCGUUUGUGGAGCACCUAUUGGUUACCGGGGCGUAGCGUGAACCCUGGUGCCUCUUCUCCAGGGCAGCGUCGAGGGUACUCUGGAAAAGAGCGGGCAGCGAGCGGUCCUCCCAAGGUAUUGUUCUUGCAGAUUCAAAGGGUUCAUGGCCUUGUGGGAAAGACUGACCUACAAAACUAAGCCAGAAUACAUUGCACUACAUGCAAAGCAGCGCAAAGCCUUGGAGAACCCAGAGCAUGGUGCAGCUGACGCUGUGACUGCCGCAGAGGAGGCUAUGGUAGCUGGACCUUAAAAGGCAAGUCCUGUUAGGAGCACAGACUACAGGAACAGGGGCUGGGAGAAGGGAGAGCUGGAGCCACAGUGGAGAAGAAGGACAUAGGCACUACAUCCAGGGACUCAGGGGCAGCAUGGUGCAGCUCAAGCGCACAGCUUAGGGACCAGCAAAUGCCAGAGAGACCAGAGAGGGGAGGAGGGGCUGGGCUGUGCGGAGAGUUCAUGCCACCUUGCUUUUGCUGCUGUCUCCCAUCUGCCCCUGCUUGAGCCUGAGUAAGAGGGGAUUGUCCUGAGGGUACCGUGAGGGGAUAGUUCAUAUAUUGAAGCAGGAAACCAUUUCUGGCCACAGAAGUACUUAGAUGAAAGCCUGGAGAACUUUGCUACAUAGUUAAGCAGUAGUAGAAAGCAAAGCAAGACAAUUGUGGAAAAUUAUUACUUUAAUUCAAUCAGUGGUAGCCCUUUCCCCUUUCUCUCUCCAGAUGGAAAGGAUGGGGAAAGAGGCAGGCUGCUCAAAGUGCUUGAGCCGGCAUCAGACAUAAAAAAAAAAAAAAAGAAAAAAAAACCUUAAUGCAUGACAUAAAGCAUGGGUAAUGAUUCUUUUAUGCUCUCUGUACUUAUAAUCAAGUGAAAUUCUUUGUUAUUAAAUACAUAAACUUCA
Molecule: long non-coding RNA, 1030 nt
Filed under: Ictidomys tridecemlineatus (thirteen-lined ground squirrel)
Lineage: Eukaryota; Metazoa; Chordata; Mammalia; Rodentia; Sciuridae
Description: lncRNA (ENSSTOG00000034209.1)
Source: RNAcentral